RNAcentral lists this long non-coding RNA (346 nucleotides) under Rosa chinensis. Its description in RNAcentral is "sRNA RchiOBHm_Chr6g0307811". The stretch from base 1 to 104 matches the Rfam family "MIR398 microRNA precursor family". The record is from RNAcentral. Lineage: Eukaryota; Viridiplantae; Streptophyta; Magnoliopsida; Rosales; Rosaceae.
GUCCAUUCCAAAGGAGUGAUCCUAAGAACACAAGGUGGUGUUAGCCACUUUCGCAUUUACAAUUAAUGCACCUUGUGUUCUCAGGACACCCCUUUGGAAAACACUGUUUACCUAUACAAUUUCGGUUAUGGACGAUGAUUCGAGUAUGAGCCCAAACCACCAAAUGCAACUACCAUGUGGGUGUCGCCUAUUUGUAACUAAGAAAGCAAUCCUGCAACUCAUAUUCCGUUGGUUUUGAAAGUGUCUACUCGGAGCUAGGGAGAAACUUUAAAUUUCGGUGUUUCAUGACUUAGAGAGAUAAGUUAGUGUUCUAAGAGUUAUAAUUUGUUGAUAUCACUUACACUAC